GGCCCUUUGCUCCUGUGUGCGGUUUGUACCUGUGGAGAUCCCGGACAAAAUCUGUGGUUGUGCAUCAGAGUCAUUGAGCCUCAAGCCAGGAAAGACUGUGACUGUGAUCACAAUGAAUGGACGACAUGAGCUAAGCAUGCCAGAGUUGGCUUGUGAAGCAUGCGCUGCGACAUGGACGACUGGGGUUGACGACCUUCUUCGGAGUGACUACUGGCCAGCUACCCUUCACUUCGCCACCAUUUAUGCCACAGAUGUUUUCUU
Molecule: long non-coding RNA, 261 nt
Organism: Trematomus bernacchii (emerald rockcod)
Lineage: Eukaryota; Metazoa; Chordata; Actinopteri; Perciformes; Nototheniidae
Exons: 3
Source: RefSeq, a predicted model, not a curated record